UCCCCAAUGUCUCAGCAGGUAAAGAAUCUGCCUGAAAUGCAGAAAACACAAGAGAUGCAAGUUCAAUCCCUGGGUGGGGAA
Molecule: transfer RNA, 81 nt
Organism: Ovis aries (sheep)
Lineage: Eukaryota; Metazoa; Chordata; Mammalia; Artiodactyla; Bovidae
Rfam family: tRNA
About the family: Transfer RNA (tRNA) molecules are approximately 80 nucleotides in length. Their secondary structure includes four short double-helical elements and three loops (D, anti-codon, and T loops). Further hydrogen bonds mediate the characteristic L-shaped molecular structure. tRNAs have two regions of fundamental functional importance: the anti-codon, which is responsible for specific mRNA codon recognition, and the 3' end, to which the tRNAs corresponding amino acid is attached (by aminoacyl-tRNA synthetases). tRNAs cope with the degeneracy of the genetic code in two manners: having more than one tRNA (with a specific anti-codon) for a particular amino acid; and 'wobble' base-pairing, i.e. permitting non-standard base-pairing at the 3rd anti-codon position.
Source: Rfam